This 254-nucleotide ribosomal RNA is filed under the name uncultured bacterium. RNAcentral's name for it is "partial 16S ribosomal RNA". It matches the Rfam family "Bacterial small subunit ribosomal RNA", at positions 524 to 776 of the family's 1533-position model. The record is from RNAcentral.
GACAUAGGUGGCAAGCGUUAUCCGGAAUUAUUGGGCGUAAAGGGUGCGUAGGUGGUUUAAUAAGUUAUUGGUGGGAAAACGGGGCCCAACUCCGUGGAAGCUAGUAAUACUAUUAGACUAGAGGACCGGAGAGGUUAACGGAAUGGCUCGCGUAGGGGUAAAAUCCGUAAAUACGAGUUGGAACACCAAAAGGCGAAGGCAGUUAACUAUUCGGUUCCUGACAUUGAGGCACGAAAGCGUGGGGAGCAAGACGG